UUGCUGUUGGUUGUUGUUGUUGUAACUCAUAUUUAACACAUUUAGAGUUUGGGUCAAGUUGCUAACGAGUUUUCGAGUGCGUCUGUGUGUGUGCGGGGGGAGGGUUAAGGGCUUAAAGUGAGGCCGCCUUUUAUCAACUCAUCAAAGGGCAGUGAAAUGCCAACGUGGAAUUUCAGUUGAGAGUAAAGGGAUAAGAGCGGGCUGGGCUGGGCUGGCUGUGUGGGCUAUAAAGCACAUAACGGAUGCUGUAUCUGUGUCUGUGCGUAUGCAUAGUUGUUCUUUAUGGCCAUUACGUAUACGCAACGUGUGGCGAAUGGCAACACACAAGGGAACAGCAACGACACUGUCAAGCAGGACAUGGGAGAGAGAGAACGAGGAGAGCGGAAGCAAGAGAGAGCGAGAGAGUGAGGAAAGCAUGCUGUGACUAUUUUCAUUGGCACAAAGGGGUGGGCGGGGGGCUUGGGGCUGUAGUAGGUGGCUCAGCUCUAGCUUUGGGGGUAUACACAAAAAAUUGUUACAAUUGCUGCUCAGGCACAACAAUAAUAUGCUUUUUAUAUUUCUUUUGUGUGUCACGCAUAAAAUGUUGUAAGCUGCUACAUUUUUCACGCGAAAAUUGCCAGUUUUAUAUUUCUUUUGCUUGUAUUUUCAUUUUAUUUGAAAGCGUCCAACAGCGAACGCGCCUAAGCAGCCAAAAUCAAGUACGUUCACACACAAUGUUUUAUACUAUAUAUAUACAUAUAUAUGCAGACAGCUAGACAGACGUACAUAUGUAUAUAUGCCGCGCUGUCGUAGCCGCUGCUGACCAGGCCAAGCAUUAGUUGGCUUUUAUAUAUAUUUUUAUAUUUAUUGUUGUUGUUGCUGCUGCUGCUGCUGUCGUUGACUUUUGUAGCGCUGUCUUGCGCUAACACUUUAGAAAUUAAUUUUUUUUAUGGCUUUUUUGGCGAAAAAAACGCAGUUUGUAUUUUUAAAACGUGUGGUAACUGCGCUUGUUGUUAUUAUUGUUGUUGUUGGUGUUGUUGUUGCAACGCCAGAACGCACGAAAACUGGCACACACAGAAUUAAAGCUAACACACACAGAGACACUCUUACUACCAAACAACAUGCACACACACACACACACACACACACGCUCAGCAAAGUCGUACAACGCGCUGUCGCUGCCAACUGCGCUGCCAACAACAACAACGACAGCGGCGGCGGCGACGUCGACGACAACGAAAAACCCGAAAAAAAUAAUGAAAACGUGAAAAACGUUGCGACGGCUUUUAUUUUUCUUUUACUUUUUGUUUUUAGUAUUUUUCUUUUUUUUUUUGUACUAACCGAAACGGCGGAAAUAUAUUUCAGUUCAGUAGUAGUGUUGUAUGUUUGAAGCAGAAGUGUUGCAAUCACGACGGUAGAACAACGACUCAGGCCAAACACGAAACGCUACAACCAACUUGGGCCCCAAUGGCAGCUGGCGUCAGUCUAACAGCGACGCCAACGUCGACGUCAACGCCGACGCAGCGCGCAGAGUCGCUCUCACAACGUAUGCGUUGCGCUCACUGCUGCUCGCGUGCGCUCCUAGGCAGCCAAGCGCUCUCUUCAUAGCUGGGGAUGCAAUGUGCACGUGUGAGCUGCCGUAUACACACACACACAAACACAUGAUUGUGCUGUUGUGUGUGUGUGUG
Molecule: long non-coding RNA, 1667 nt
Organism: Drosophila busckii
Lineage: Eukaryota; Metazoa; Arthropoda; Insecta; Diptera; Drosophilidae
Exons: 2
Source: RefSeq, a predicted model, not a curated record